AUAUGCAUGUAUGCAUGUGCAUGUGUGUGUGCACGAGUGCACACAUACACACACAC
This 56-nucleotide microRNA precursor is filed under the name Loxodonta africana (African savanna elephant). RNAcentral's name for it is "miRNA (ENSLAFG00000030994.1)". Lineage: Eukaryota; Metazoa; Chordata; Mammalia; Proboscidea; Elephantidae. The record is from RNAcentral.